Molecule: long non-coding RNA, 2582 nt
Organism: Tribolium castaneum (red flour beetle)
Lineage: Eukaryota; Metazoa; Arthropoda; Insecta; Coleoptera; Tenebrionidae
Exons: 2
Source: RefSeq, a predicted model, not a curated record
CGCACAAUUCAAAAUCUCGCUUUAGCUCGCAUCCGACAGCUCGUUAUUAUUAUCAGAACGGUAACAUUCCUCGCAUUGUAAUCUCAGAGUUCGAAGAUGUCGAAAUCGAACAAUUAUUAUUCGUGUUACAGUUAACGUUGUUUGUUACACACAUUCUCCCAACAAAGAUCGAAAUGCGUGUCUUCAUAAAGACGAUUCCGUUAGCGAAGAUGUCUGUGAUGAUGUGUCCUUCACUGACCGUAUAUGCACCCAACUGUGUAAUCAAAUCAUCGUCAUACUAGCUCAAAAGUCAUUCACAUGUCGUAUUGCGUCGGUGUAACAGUAUUAUGACUUUAAGACUCAAAACUCAUCCGGAAGUUUACCGUACACGUUGUCACAGACUCCUGCAUAUGAUUCUUCCUGAUUCAAAAGCGCUUGUUUCGCGGAAUUUGGCAAAAAUUCCCACUGAGAUUUAUUACCUAAUUAACUACAACAUGUGCGAAUUUAUGAAAUUGUAUUUUUCAUCAAACUCCAGACAACGACCAAAAAAUGAACAACGUUGAAGCAGUACUCGAAAUUAAAUAACUUCAGGAACAAUGAUAUCCGAGUUAUUUGAAACAUCUUUAAUUUCAUUCCGCAACUGUUCGGGUCAGGCAUUUUUUUAAUAAUUGUAUUAUGUGUCCACAAAUAAUUAAUUGCACUCAAGUGUGAAAUUUGCUUUUGCUAUCGCGUGUCAAAAAUUAGCAUUAGACUCUAGGUCAAAUUUAUUUAAAUAAUGUUUUACUGUUUCAAUAACAGGACCGUCAUUUUUUGACUAAACAUUCGUUAAGUAGGAUUUGUCAAAAUAUGAAAGGAUUACCCUCAUGACCAGUUAAUACGAGGAUUUUAUUCGAAAUGACAAAUAAUAAAAUUUUCCGUUUGAGGCGUUGUUAAACUGAAUUAAAUUUGUUCCGUUUAUGAAUCAAUAAAAUUUCAGUACUUACCAUUUUUAUUUAGGAAAAGUAAAAGGGUUAAAGAAGCAUUCUCGCCAAGAUCGCUUCAGCCAAGUUUAUAAUUGGAUUUAUGUGACUUUAAACUUAGAUUAGCUAUUUAGCAGUUAAAUCUAAUAAAUGUGGACUUUUGCUUAAUUGGGUUUGCCAACUCGUUGUGUGGCCUUAUAGCUACAAUGGACCUUGAAGGUAAAUUAAGUAUCCAUUGUAUUAGCGCUGCAGCCAAUUUCUUCUGAACUUAAAAAAUGUAUUUUUUCGGAGUUGCAAUUUGUGCGUAGCCGAUGGCUGUACCAUUGCACUUCCUUUCAGAAAUCGUAAACGAAUUGAAAAAAUUGCAGCGUUGAUUAUAUUCUUGUUACUGAGAUUAGCGGCACUAAAGGCAAACAGUUUGAUUGUGAUUUACGUAAUCCUGUAGAGUGUUGAAGAAGGACAUAGAGGCUCGUUAUAAUUGCUUCAAGCUUCUAGAAUGAUCUACAACACCCUAAGAGACGUUCAGUUGCUUGCAUAUUUAUGGUUUUAUGCAAAUUUGCAAUGUGUGUUUUGGUGAGAACACAACGUUUGCACAUUUGGAACGUUCACUAGUACUAAAUAGGUAAUGAAAAAUGUUUGAAAAGCUCGUUAUGACAGAGGUGUAUUUGCAUUUUAUAGUUUCUGGUAAAAUAUGAGGUAAUAAAUAGGUUAGUGCCGCAUGUUUUACACUCUCAUCAAAAUUAAUAUCAGAGUGACACGACGUGGCGCCAUCAUUUAUUCAUCGCGUCUUUUAUGAAAUUUCUUGUAAAAAAUUGAAGCGGUUUUGUGUAAUUUCUCAGUCAGGAAGGAGUUUGCCUUGAUUAAAUUGGAUCAGGUUAUCUACAAGUGGCAGCAGCAGGACAAAGGUCUUAAAUUAAAUUGCCUCUCAUAUAUCUAGAGACCAAUAUUUGAUUUAGGUCGUACGACCUUCUCGAGGCAAAAACUUUACAAGAAUGAAGGAAUAAGAUGCCUACCCGCUUUACAGCAAAAUCUAGAUAAUUGGAUGCUUUGUCUCUAUCACGAAACGCAUCUUCGCAAAGGACAACUUAUCCCCUACAUUAAUCUCUCAGAGGUUGGACUGCUACCUGCAAAUAUGUAGAUUACACAUUUGCAAUGCGAUAUCUGACUCCAAACGACAAAAAAUCCGAGAUUUACAUCAAUUUUUUUCCCAAGCACCACAAUUUGAGUCUCAACAAUGUAAUUUUAUCGGUUUUGCGAACAACAUUUACCAAUUGCCACAAUUGAAUUCAGCAGAAACCCAAUUUACAUAAAGAGAUUGGACUAUAAAUAGGGCAAUUCGGUUCGUUUUACAGUUAAAGAUGUACUCUCGUUGUCUAAUUCCGCUUGUGCUUUACAUCGCCAUACAAGCAGUUGGUGGUGUAAAAUUUUGCUAUGAAAAACACUGUGUCAAUUGUGAUGCGAAAAUAGUUGUCAAACAAUGCCCCGAUGUACAUUCCUUGUGUGCUUUCAACAUUUUUACAGAUUCAAACAAUGUUUUUCAGUUGGUAAUACUGAACGAGUCAAAACGUGCGUCAGUCCUGACAACUUAGCUUUCUGGUUGCAUCGCUGUACCUAUUUUAAUAAACAAAUUUGUGUAACGAAGAA